Molecule: long non-coding RNA, 322 nt
Organism: Triticum aestivum (bread wheat)
Lineage: Eukaryota; Viridiplantae; Streptophyta; Magnoliopsida; Poales; Poaceae
Exons: 2
Source: RefSeq, a predicted model, not a curated record
UAUGGGCCGAGACCUUGGCAAUGAUCGAAUGUUGUUCCUGGCCAAUCUGGUUCGCUCUACAAAAGCUCAGAGGGGCUUCAGGAGGGCUCUGGCUUAUGUGGAAUGACGAUCUUAAGGUUUCUGUUCGUAGUUCUUCCUUCCACUUUAUCUUAGCGGAUGUAGUUCAUCUAGCCUCGGGGGUUCACUUUUGUUUGGUUUGUAUAUAUGGUGACCCCUACCAUAGGCAGACUAGUGACAUUUGGAAUCAGAUCUCCACUUUUGUGUAUGAUAACUUUGGCAAACCCAUGAUCUGUAUGGGUGAUCUUAACGAUAUUUUGUAUGA